Molecule: long non-coding RNA, 1727 nt
Organism: Rhinopithecus roxellana (golden snub-nosed monkey)
Lineage: Eukaryota; Metazoa; Chordata; Mammalia; Primates; Cercopithecidae
Exons: 4
Source: RefSeq, a predicted model, not a curated record
AUCUCAGAUUUUAGUUACACUAGGAAGCUGCUAACAGUCACAGGGCUAGAAGAACAAAGGUAAAACAUAAGCUGUUACCAGAGCCCAGCAGUCAAGGCUCCCUGGCUUGAUCUGGUCCAGCAGAACUAGGACCACCGGAAUACCACCUGAAGCAAAGAGAGGUGGGAAUGAUUCUCCGGCCAUCUACCCAAUACCCAUCCUCCAAUCUCAAGCCAGUGUCCCCACGGCCUUAAACAGGGACCAAUGCCUGUUGCUAAGGCUAUCUGGGAAAUGCAGAUUUCAGAGAAAAGGCUAUGACUGGAUGUGACAGCAAAGAAAGACAGGAUCUUAUUAUGUUGCCCAGGCUGGCCUCGAACUUCUGGGCUCAAGUGAUCCUCCAGGCUUAGCUUCCCAAGUAGCUGGAACUAGAGGUGUGCAUCAUCCUGCCUGACUCAAGACUUCCAUUUCUGAAACACCUGUUGUCUCCAGAACUGAACACAGUGCCUGGCACAAAAUCAACGGAAUUGGAAACUUGAACACUGGAAACCAAGGCUGCAGUUUUCACAAUCUUCCCCACAUGAUGCUUGUGCAUGCUCAAGUUUGAGAACAACUGAUCCACAUAAUGUGACUUUUUUUUUUCCUUAUGGUCUCCUCAUCUAACAAAUCAACAGGAAUGUAUUGAUGCUGGACAGUCAUUCACUGGUCCACUCAAGCAACAUUGACUGAGUGUCAGGUACAGAGGUAACUGCACUGAAAAAAAUACUCAAGGUGCCUACAGUUGCCCAGGAAACCCAUCUGUCAAGGUUGUUUGCCCUGAAGAGAGAGAGGUCUUGUUUGACUUUGUUCAGAUGAAAAAGAUAAAAAUGGCAUCGUGCUUCCUGACCAACAAUCAGAGAUGUUAAUAUUUCUGAGCUAAGCUGUUGAACAUGGUUACUUCUCAGAGGGUGGGUUUGUUUGGGAGGGGGAAGUGAAAUAAACUUGAUUGCACCACCCCAGUUUUUGUUAAGCCCUCUCUCCUGUCCACUCUCCACCCCCGAGGCUCUCAGCCGGGCACUCAGUGCAGAGCCUAGUACCCUGGCUGUUGCUUCCUCUCCAGCAGACUCAGCAUCUUUCCUGGCAUCUACCAUGGUGGGAGCUGAAGCAUGAAGAACUAUAGAUCCCAUGCCCUGGCCCCACAUGACCAGAUCCCUUGGAGGGUCUGCUUCUGCCUUCCCUCCCAGACUUCAGUGAUGUUCAAGGAUCUCCUUGCUCAAAGCCUACAGGCUCUGGGAUGCCCGCAUGGGGCAAACUGGCCAAUAAAGAACAAGACAGCUGUUGGAGGAUAUGAUCUUGCCAAAUGAGAGAUUAAACCAAGAAACAAUAAGUCACAGGAUCUAGAACACACAGGCUCAAAAAUAAGACAAUGGCAAAAGGAAGUCGAGACAGUUCUCUGAAUUCCUUCUCUGCUACUACACGACCUCUCUUAAGUACUGAAUGAAAGAACAGAUGAAUUAAAAAUGCUUUGAAAAAGUGUUUGAUAGCAAACAUCCUUACACUGACUAGCCUGCAGAGCAGAGCCUUAACGAACAAAUAAUCUUACAUGAAUUUAGUGCUGACUGCAACAAGAUUACCAGCAUUUCCUUAUCAGUCUUUCAGCUAAGCAUAGAAUUUUAGUUUGGGGCCAGGCACAGUGGCUCAUGCCUAUAAUCCUCGCACUUUGGGAGGCCGAGGUGGGCGGAUCACCUGAGGUCACGAGUUCGAGACCAGAC